UGCAUUUUUAUCUGCAAUUUUACAAUCUAUAGUUUUGUUUUUCAAAUUAAUCUCAGAUUGGUGUGCUUGGUGGCACUGAUAUUCUGGCGAAUGAAGGUGAUAAGACUUCUCUAAGUCAAAGACACAGAGAAUCAGUAACUGAGAGCUCAACAGAUGCUGAAACUUCUAGAGGGCCGGUUGGAGAGGUGAUGAGAGUGUUGAUCAUGGUUGGAUUUGCAACACUAAUUUUCUUCACUAGACAAAGGAAACCAGGUACCCAUGUCUCUAGUUGUUCAUAGGUUAUUCAUUGUAUCUUGUAAUACAAAGAGAAAUGUGCUGAAAAAACUGUUUUUUCAGACAACUAAGCUGAUGGAGCUAUCCAUUUUCUUUGUCAUCAUGAAAGUAAGGAAAAUAUUUUAUUUGU
Long non-coding RNA from Hevea brasiliensis (rubber tree), 403 nucleotides. RefSeq lists it as uncharacterized. The record is from RefSeq and is a predicted model, not a curated record. The transcript is spliced from 2 exons. NCBI's taxonomy places the organism in Eukaryota, Viridiplantae, Streptophyta, Magnoliopsida, Malpighiales, Euphorbiaceae.